This 158-nucleotide ribosomal RNA is filed under the name Radopholus similis. Its description in RNAcentral is "5.8S ribosomal RNA". The stretch from base 1 to 134 matches the Rfam family "5.8S ribosomal RNA", at positions 21 to 154 of the family's 154-position model. Rfam says of the family: 5.8S ribosomal RNA (5.8S rRNA) is a component of the large subunit of the eukaryotic ribosome. It is transcribed by RNA polymerase I as part of the 45S precursor that also contains 18S and 28S rRNA. The record is from RNAcentral. Lineage: Eukaryota; Metazoa; Nematoda; Chromadorea; Rhabditida; Pratylenchidae.
UCGGCUCGUAGGUCGAUGAAGAACGCAGCCAGCUGCGAUAUCUAGUGUGAACUGCAGAACCUUUGAACACUAAACAUUCGAAUGCACAUUGCGCCAUUGGAGUCACUUCCUCUGGCACGCCUGGUUCAGGGUCGUUUACCAAAAACGCAAGACAAAUG